UUCCGUAGUAAUCGCGGGUCAACAUCCCGCGGUGAAUGUGCCCCUGCUCUUUGCACACACCGCCCGUCAACUCAUCCGAGUUGGGUCGGAGUGAGGGUGCCUCAUCCGGGGCGCUCGAACUUCGGUUCAGCAAGGGGGAGUAAGUCGUAACAAGGUAUCUGUAGGGGAACCUGCAGAUGGAUCACCUCCUA
RNAcentral lists this ribosomal RNA (191 nucleotides) under Thermoplasmata archaeon. RNAcentral describes it as "partial 16S ribosomal RNA". It matches the Rfam family "Archaeal small subunit ribosomal RNA", at positions 1287 to 1478 of the family's 1478-position model. Lineage: Archaea; Methanobacteriati; Thermoplasmatota; Thermoplasmata. The record is from RNAcentral.